CAAUAAGCGGAGGAAAAGAAACCAACAGGGAUUGCCYUMGUAACGGCKAAGUGAAGCGGCAACAGCUCAAAUUUGAAAUCUGGCGUCUUUGGCGUCCGAGUUGUAAUUUGCAGAGGGCGCUUUGGCAUUGGCAGCGGUCCAAGUUCCUUGGAACAGGACGUCACAGAGGGUGAGAAUCCCGUACGUGGUCGCUAGCCUUUACCGUGUAAAGCCCCUUCGACGAGUCGAGUUGUUUGGGAAUGCAGCUCUAAAUGGGAGGUAAAUUUUCUUCUAAAGCUAAAUACUGGCCAGAGACCGAUAGCGCACAAGUAGAGUGAUCGAAAGAUGAAAAGCACUUUGGAAAGAGAGUUAAAAAGCACGUGAAAUUGUUGAAAGGGAAGCGCUUGCAGCCAGACUUGCCUGUAGUUGCUCAUCCGGGUUUCUACCCGGUGCACUCUUCUAUAGGCAGGCCAGCAUCAGUUUGGGCGGUUGGAUAAAGGUCUCUGUCAUGUACCUCUCUUCGGGGAGAACUUAUAGGGGAGACGACAUGCAACCAGCCUGGACUGAGGUCCGCGCAUCUGCUAGGAUGCUGGCGUAAUGGCUGUAAGCGGCCCGUCUUGAAACACGGACCAAGGAGUCUAACAUCUAUGCGAGUGUUUGGGUGUCAAGCCCGAGCGCGUAAUGAAAGUGAACGGAGGUGGGAACCUUUCGGGGUGCACCAUCGACCGAUCCUGAUGUCUUCGGAUGGAUUUGAGUAAGAGCAUAGCUGUUGGGACCCGAAAGAUGGUGAACUAUGCUUGAAUAGGGUGAAGCCAGAGGAAACUCUGGUGGAGGCUCGCAGCGGUUCUGACGUGCAAAUCGAUCGUCAAAUUUGGGCAUAGGGGCGAAAGACUAAUCGAACUAUCUAGUAGCUGGUUCUGC
Molecule: ribosomal RNA, 900 nt
Filed under: Dendrophoma mahoniae
Lineage: Eukaryota; Fungi; Ascomycota; Sordariomycetes; Chaetosphaeriales
Description: LSU rRNA
Rfam family: Eukaryotic large subunit ribosomal RNA
Source: RNAcentral